This 253-nucleotide ribosomal RNA is filed under the name uncultured bacterium. RNAcentral describes it as "partial 16S ribosomal RNA". It matches the Rfam family "Bacterial small subunit ribosomal RNA", at positions 524 to 776 of the family's 1533-position model. The record is from RNAcentral.
UACAGAGGGGGCAAGCGUUGUUCGGAAUUACUGGGCGUAAAGGGCGCGUAGGCGGCCAUUCAAGUCGGAGGUGAAAGCCCAGGGCUCAACCCUGGAAUUGCCUUCGAUACUGUUUGGCUAGAGACCGGAAGAGGUAAGUGGAACUGCGAGUGUAGAGGUGAAAUUCGUAGAUAUUCGCAAGAACACCAGUGGCGAAGGCGGCUUACUGGUCCGGUUCUGGCGCUGAGGCGCGAAAGCGUGGGGAGCAAACAGG